RNAcentral lists this ribosomal RNA (492 nucleotides) under uncultured bacterium. RNAcentral's name for it is "partial 16S ribosomal RNA". It matches the Rfam family "Bacterial small subunit ribosomal RNA", at positions 29 to 507 of the family's 1533-position model. The record is from RNAcentral.
AGUGAACGCUGGCGGUAGGCCUAACACAUGCAAGUCGAACGGCAGCACAGUAAGAGCUUGCUCUUACGGGUGGCGAGUGGCGGACGGGUGAGGAAUACAUCGGAAUCUACUUUUUCGUGGGGGAUAACGUAGGGAAACUUACGCUAAUACCGCAUACGACCUACGGGUGAAAGCAGGGGAUCUUCGGACCUUGCGCGAUUGAAUGAGCCGAUGUCGGAUUAGCUAGUUGGCGGGGUAAAGGCCCACCAAGGCGACGAUCCGUAGCUGGUCUGAGAGGAUGAUCAGCCACACUGGAACUGAGACACGGUCCAGACUCCUAAGGGAGGCAGCAGUGGGGAAUAUUGGACAAUGGGGGCAAGCCUGGUCCAGCCAUACCACGUGGGUGAAGAAGGCCUUCGGGUUGUAAAGCCCUUUUGUUGGGAAAAAAAAGCAGCAGGUUAAUACCCCGCUGUUCCGACGGUACCCAAAGAAUAAGCACCGGCUAACUUCGUG